UGUUUCGGCUAGGGGGUCAUCCCGACUUACCAACCCGAUGCAAACUACGAAUACCGAAGAAUGUUAUCACGGGAGACACACGGCGGGUGCUAACGUCCGUCGUGAAGAGGGAAACAACCCAGACCGCCAGCUAAGGUCCCAAAGUCAUGGUUAAGUGGGAAACGAUGUGGGAAGGCACAGACAGCCAGGAUGUUGGCUUAGAAGCAGCCAUCAUUUAAAGAAAGCGUAAUAGCUCACUGGUCGAGUCGGCCUGCGCGGAAGAUGUAACGGGGCUAAACCAUGCACCGAAGCUGCGGCAGCGACACUAUGUGUUGUUGGGUAGGGGAGCGUUCUGUAAGCCUGCGAAGGUGACCUGUGAGGGUUGCUGGAGGUA
This 373-nucleotide ribosomal RNA is filed under the name Klebsiella pneumoniae subsp. pneumoniae. RNAcentral describes it as "partial 23S ribosomal RNA". It matches the Rfam family "Bacterial large subunit ribosomal RNA", at positions 911 to 1281 of the family's 2925-position model. Lineage: Bacteria; Pseudomonadati; Pseudomonadota; Gammaproteobacteria; Enterobacterales; Enterobacteriaceae. The record is from RNAcentral.